This 462-nucleotide ribosomal RNA is filed under the name uncultured Desulfobulbus sp. Its description in RNAcentral is "bacterial SSU rRNA". It matches the Rfam family "Bacterial small subunit ribosomal RNA", at positions 925 to 1382 of the family's 1533-position model. Lineage: Bacteria; Pseudomonadati; Thermodesulfobacteriota; Desulfobulbia; Desulfobulbales; Desulfobulbaceae. The record is from RNAcentral.
ACAAGCGGUGGAGUAUGUGGUUUAAUUCGAUGCAACGCGAAGAACUUACCUGGUCUUGACAUCCCGGAGACCCUUAGGAAACUAGGGGGUUCUUCCAUCUGGAAGAAUCUGGAGACAGGUGCUGCAUGGCUGUCGUCAGCUCGUGUCGUGAGAUGUUGGGUUAAGUCCCGCAACGAGCGCAACCCUUGCCUUUAGUUGCCAGCAGUUCGGCUGGGCACUCUAAAGGGACUGCCGGUGUUAAACCGGAGGAAGGUGGGGAUGACGUCAAGUCCUCAUGGCCUUUAUGACCAGGGCUACACACGUACUACAAUGGCCGAUACAAAGGGCAGCGACACUGCGAGGUGAAGCCAAUCCCGUAAAAUCGGUCUCAGUCCGGAUUGGAGUCUGCAACUCGACUCCAUGAAGUUGGAAUCGCUAGUAAUCGUGGAUCAGCAUGCCACGGUGAAUACGUUCCCGGGCCUU